Molecule: long non-coding RNA, 161 nt
Organism: Lucilia sericata (common green bottle fly)
Lineage: Eukaryota; Metazoa; Arthropoda; Insecta; Diptera; Calliphoridae
Exons: 2
Source: RefSeq, a predicted model, not a curated record
UUGUGUCGAAAAUACAAUUUAAUGAUGAGUUUUAUUGUGAAUUUAGUAAAUUGUCACAGGACAAAAUCAUAGGCACACAAAAUGAUUGUUGUACUAUUUAUGAUAUAGCCAAGGGUCAACUGAUAUCAACAUUUACACCUACAUUGGGUAAUCAAUAUAGU